Molecule: ribosomal RNA, 1908 nt
Filed under: Triticum aestivum (bread wheat)
Lineage: Eukaryota; Viridiplantae; Streptophyta; Magnoliopsida; Poales; Poaceae
Description: partial small subunit ribosomal RNA
Source: RNAcentral
AUGGACGCCGUCGCGUUCCCGCCGCCUCCGGCCCCUUUCCUCGACGACGACUUCGAUUUCGGGGACUUCGCUUUCGCCCCUGCUGCGCCCCAGCCUGCACCUCUGGCUCCGCAGCCGGCUACUUUUGCGGCCUUCGACGACGACUGGGGCGACUUUGUGGCGAGCUCCCUCGGAUUCAGCCCGGAUGGCCUGUCCGCACCCGCCAUCCCGCCUACGGGCAAGCCAGCCGCCGGCGCCUGGGAGAAGCCCCGGGGCCCGCUCCCCUUAUCCCUGUUUGGAGCCGAUGACAAGGAGGAGGAGGAGGAGAAGGAUGAAGUGCCUGUCGGGCCGCCGCCGCCCACGUCCACGGUGCACCAGCGGGCACCGUCGUUCGGAUCCAAAGCCUCGAGCCCCGCGGAUCUCAAGGACCUCAUCGUCGGCCUCUACGGAUCUCAGCCUCCGCCCACCCCCGACGCACCACAGCCGGGUGCGCUGGAGGAGGUGGACGAUGACGGGUUUGGAGAUGACGGUUGGGAAUUCAAGGCUGCCCCCUCGUCUGAUGCCGGCCAGGAUGGAGCCGGACAAGCGGACGGAGGUGGAAUUGAGGGUAUGCCAAAAUCAUUGGGCAGCGACCAGAAAGAUUGGUCACUAUUUACUGGUGUCAAUAAUGAACUGAACCUCCAGACUACAGAUCAUGUCAGAAAUCAUGAGUCCACAGGACAAAGUGUGAAGACCUUCAGCUAUUCUCCAGAUAAUAGUUCAUCCAUACUCAACUUGUACAAAGAAUCUAAAUUUGUCGAUGCUGUUCAAGUUCCUCAAAGUUGUUCCGAAAGUGUAGUCAGCUCUUCUGAUAUGUUCUCUAACAAUGAAGUGAACUCUUCGUUUGGAACAGAUGAAAACCAUUCCAUUAAAUCAGGAAGCGACAAUAUUUUGGUUGAUUUCUACCAUAAGCUGAGAGAAGAAUCCAUGGCAAUGAUAUUCCGGUAUAAUAAGGAUAUUAAGGAGGCCCAGAAGAGUUCUGCACAUUCUGAUGGAAACAAAAAAGAGACAGCAAUCGAAAGGGAGAUCCAGGAAAUCUGGGAGAAACUACGAGAUUCUUCGCUGGCAGAAGGAUUUCGCAUUGAGGAACAGCCUUCGAGGGAUGAGAGUAUUUCUGGACUGCUUAACAGUACCAAAGAGGAACACAUAAAGGAUUUUGAGCAGCACUAUCAUUUAGCAGAGAAAAUAGCACUGGCACAGCAUGACAUGAGUUUGGCAGUUGAACUUUACAAGCAUAGUGUGUCAACCCUACAUACCUUAGGACUAGCAUCCAAAGAGGAGCAAUGUGAUUAUGUCGCCGCAUGGUACAGUAUGUUUCUUUCCUGUGCUCAGGAAUUGCAGCAUGGAGCAGUGCUUUGGCAAGAAUCUUGUCAUGCGAAAGUCCAUGAUCUAGUAGUUUCUGAAGGUGCAAAUUGGUUUGUUGCUCUUGGGGAGAUCUACAGAGUUGCACACCUCUUGCAUUUGUCAUUGCAGUAUUUCAAGCCUUGGGUUCUUGCGGAUCCCGGGAUGUUUAGUAAAAUGUUGGCUUGUUGGGACAGCUGCAUUAAUGCAUGGACUAGUGGUUUAGAAACAGCUCUUAAAACAGUUGUUGACAGCAAUCACUUAGCUGCACCCGCUGGUAAAGCUCUUCUGGAGUCCAUCAUCAGUAUUAAUGAACUUGAAGUGGCCAAUUUUCAACAUUGUCUUGCCAACAACGAGUUGACAUGCCGACUAACACUUCUGCCAACUGGUCUUCUACAAGGAGGGGAAGUGGUUGUGUGGAACGGUAAUCACUAUUUUGUUAAAGUUGCCAAUUUUUGGGCAAAUCGGGUAUCUUCGGACCCUCCUCGGCUUUCACUCGUUCACAUCUCUUCAAUGGACAGUACAAGCAAUAGCUGCCUGCCUUGUUGA